This 330-nucleotide ribosomal RNA is filed under the name uncultured eukaryote. Its description in RNAcentral is "partial 18S ribosomal RNA". It matches the Rfam family "Eukaryotic small subunit ribosomal RNA", at positions 1470 to 1796 of the family's 1831-position model. The record is from RNAcentral.
CCCUUAGAUGUUCUGGGCCGCACGCGCGCUACACUGAUACGUUCAACGAGUCCAAAACCUUGAUUGAUAGGUCUGGGUAAUCUUUUGAAUACGUAUCGUGCUAGGGAUAGAUUAUUGCAAUUAUUAAUCUUGAACGAGGAAUGCCUAGUAAACGCAAGUCAUCAGCUUGCAUUGAUUACGUCCCUGCCCUUUGUACACACCGCCCGUCGCUCCUACCGAUUGAAUGUUCCGAUGAAUACCAUGGACUGAGAGUAUGAAUGGGUUCGCCUAUUUCUGCUUCUCGGGAAGUGGAGUAAAUCUUAACAUUUAGAGGAAGGAGAAGUCGUAACA